GGAGGCAUAGCUCAGCUGGUCAGAGCGCUUGCUUCACACGCAAGAGGUCCCCGGUUCGAGCCCGGGUGCGUCCACCA
Molecule: transfer RNA, 77 nt
Filed under: Eubacteriales bacterium
Lineage: Bacteria; Bacillati; Bacillota; Clostridia; Eubacteriales
Also listed under: 3 other names
Description: tRNA-Val
Rfam family: tRNA
About the family: Transfer RNA (tRNA) molecules are approximately 80 nucleotides in length.
Source: RNAcentral